UGGCUCAGGAAAUUAGUUAUU
Molecule: non-coding RNA, 21 nt
Organism: Caenorhabditis elegans
Lineage: Eukaryota; Metazoa; Nematoda; Chromadorea; Rhabditida; Rhabditidae
Source: Ensembl